UUAAGCGACUAAGCGUACACGGUGGAUGCCCUGGCAGUCAGAGGCGAUGAAGGACGUGCUAAUCUGCGAUAAGCGUCGGUAAGGUGAUAUGAACCGUUAUAACCGGCGAUUUCCGAAUGGGGAAACCCAGUGUGAUUCGUCACACUAUCAUUAACUGAAUCCAUAGGUUAAUGAGGCGAACCGGGGGAACUGAAACAUCUAAGUACCCCGAGGAAAAGAAAUCAACCGAGAUUCCCCCAGUAGCGGCGAGCGAACGGGGAGCAGCCCAGAGCCUGAAUCAGUGUGUGUGUUAGUGGAAGCGUCUGGAAAGGCGCGCGAUACAGGGUGACAGCCCCGUACACAAAAAUGCACAUGCUGUGAGCUCGAUGAGUAGGGCGGGACACGUGGUAUCCUGUCUGAAUAUGGGGGGACCAUCCUCCAAGGCUAAAUACUCCUGACUGACCGAUAGUGAACCAGUACCGUGAGGGAAAGGCGAAAAGAACCCCGGCGAGGGGAGUGAAAAAGAACCUGAAACCGUGUACGUACAAGCAGUGGGAGCACNNNNNNNNNNGUGUGACUGCGUACCUUUUGUAUAAUGGGUCAGCGACUUAUAUUCUGUAGCAAGGUUAACCGAAUAGGGGAGCCGAAGGGAAACCGAGUCUUAACUGGGCGUUAAGUUGCAGGGUAUAGACCCGAAACCCGGUGAUCUAGCCAUGGGCAGGUUGAAGGUUGGGUAACACUAACUGGAGGACCGAACCGACUAAUGUUGAAAAAUUAGCGGAUGACUUGUGGCUGGGGGUGAAAGGCCAAUCAAACCGGGAGAUAGCUGGUUCUCCCCGAAAGCUAUUUAGGUAGCGCCUCGUGAAUUCAUCUCCGGGGGUAGAGCACUGUUUCGGCAAGGGGGUCAUCCCGACUUACCAACCCGAUGCAAACUGCGAAUACCGGAGAAUGUUAUCACGGGAGACACACGGCGGGUGCUAACGUCCGUCGUGAAGAGGGAAACAACCCAGACCGCCAGCUAAGGUCCCAAAGUCAUGGUUAAGUGGGAAACGAUGUGGGAAGGCCCAGACAGCCAGGAUGUUGGCUUAGAAGCAGCCAUCAUUUAAAGAAAGCGUAAUAGCUCACUGGUCGAGUCGGCCUGCGCGGAAGAUGUAACGGGGCUAAACCAUGCACCGAAGCUGCGGCAGCGACGCUUAUGCGUUGUUGGGUAGGGGAGCGUUCUGUAAGCCUGCGAAGGUGUGCUGUGAGGCAUGCUGGAGGUAUCAGAAGUGCGAAUGCUGACAUAAGUAACGAUAAAGCGGGUGAAAAGCCCGCUCGCCGGAAGACCAAGGGUUCCUGUCCAACGUUAAUCGGGGCAGGGUGAGUCGACCCCUAAGGCGAGGCCGAAAGGCGUAGUCGAUGGGAAACAGGUUAAUAUUCCUGUACUUGGUGUUACUGCGAAGGGGGGACGGAGAAGGCUAUGUUGGCCGGGCGACGGUUGUCCCGGUUUAAGCGUGUAGGCUGGUUUUCCAGGCAAAUCCGGAAAAUCAAGGCUGAGGCGUGAUGACGAGGCACUACGGUGCUGAAGCAACAAAUGCCCUGCUUCCAGGAAAAGCCUCUAAGCAUCAGGUAACAUCAAAUCGUACCCCAAACCGACACAGGUGGUCAGGUAGAGAAUACCAAGGCGCUUGAGAGAACUCGGGUGAAGGAACUAGGCAAAAUGGUGCCGUAACUUCGGGAGAAGGCACGCUGAUAUGUAGGUGAAGUCCCUCGCGGAUGGAGCUGAAAUCAGUCGAAGAUACCAGCUGGCUGCAACUGUUUAUUAAAAACACAGCACUGUGCAAACACGAAAGUGGACGUAUACGGUGUGACGCCUGCCCGGUGCCGGAAGGUUAAUUGAUGGGGUUAGCGCAAGCGAAGCUCUUGAUCGAAGCCCCGGUAAACGGCGGCCGUAACUAUAACGGUCCUAAGGUAGCGAAAUUCCUUGUCGGGUAAGUUCCGACCUGCACGAAUGGCGUAAUGAUGGCCAGGCUGUCUCCACCCGAGACUCAGUGAAAUUGAACUCGCUGUGAAGAUGCAGUGUACCCGCGGCAAGACGGAAAGACCCCGUGAACCUUUACUAUAGCUUGACACUGAACAUUGAGCCUUGAUGUGUAGGAUAGGUGGGAGGCUUUGAAGUGUGGACGCCAGUCUGCAUGGAGCCGACCUUGAAAUACCACCCUUUAAUGUUUGAUGUUCUAACGUUGACCCGUAAUCCGGGUUGCGGACAGUGUCUGGUGGGUAGUUUGACUGGGGCGGUCUCCUCCUAAAGAGUAACGGAGGAGCACGAAGGUUGGCUAAUCCUGGUCGGACAUCAGGAGGUUAGUGCAAUGGCAUAAGCCAGCUUGACUGCGAGCGUGACGGCGCGAGCAGGUGCGAAAGCAGGUCAUAGUGAUCCGGUGGUUCUGAAUGGAAGGGCCAUCGCUCAACGGAUAAAAGGUACUCCGGGGAUAACAGGCUGAUACCGCCCAAGAGUUCAUAUCGACGGCGGUGUUUGGCACCUCGAUGUCGGCUCAUCACAUCCUGGGGCUGAAGUAGGUCCCAAGGGUAUGGCUGUUCGCCAUUUAAAGUGGUACGCGAGCUGGGUUUAGAACGUCGUGAGACAGUUCGGUCCCUAUCUGCCGUGGGCGCUGGAGAAUUGAGGGGGGCUGCUCCUAGUACGAGAGGACCGGAGUGGACGCAUCACUGGUGUUCGGGUUGUCAUGCCAAUGGCACUGCCCGGUAGCUAAAUGCGGAAGAGAUAAGUGCUGAAAGCAUCUAAGCACGAAACUUGCCCCGAGAUGAGUUCUCCCUGACUCCUUGAGAGUCCUGAAGGAACGUUGAAGACGACGACGUUGAUAGGCCGGGUGUGUAAGCGCAGCGAUGCGUUGAGCUAACCGGUACUAAUGAACCGUGAGGCUUAACCUU
RNAcentral lists this ribosomal RNA (2904 nucleotides) under Escherichia coli. Its description in RNAcentral is "bacterial LSU rRNA". It matches the Rfam family "Bacterial large subunit ribosomal RNA". The record is from RNAcentral. Lineage: Bacteria; Pseudomonadati; Pseudomonadota; Gammaproteobacteria; Enterobacterales; Enterobacteriaceae.